CUACCCUUGACAUGCUAGGAAGCUCGCAGAGAUGUGAGUGUGCCCGAAAGGGAACCUAGACACAGGUGCUGCAUGGCUGUCGUCAGCUCGUGUCGUGAGAUGUUGGGUUAAGUCCCGCAACGAGCGCAACCCUUGCCAUUAGUUGCUACAUUCAGUUGGGCACUCUAAUGGGACUGCCGGUGACAAACCGGAGGAAGGUGGGGAUGACGUCAAGUCCUCAUGGCCCUUAUGGGUAGGGCUUCACACGUAAUACAAUGGCCGGUACAGAGGGCUGCCAACCCGCGAGGGGGAGCAAAUCCCAGAAAGCCGGUCGUAGUCCGGAUUGUUCUCUGCAACUCGAGAGCAUGAAGUCGGAAUCGCUAGUAAUCGCGGAUCAGCAUGUCGCGGUGAAUACGUUCCCGGGUCUUGUACACACCGCCCGUCACACCAUGGGAGUGGGUUUCACCAGAAGUAGUUAGCCUAACCGCAAGGAGGGCGACUACCACGGUGAGAUUCAUGACUGGGGUG
Molecule: ribosomal RNA, 507 nt
Filed under: uncultured bacterium
Lineage: Bacteria
Description: bacterial SSU rRNA
Rfam family: Bacterial small subunit ribosomal RNA
Source: RNAcentral